UUGAUGGAGGCGUGGCUUUCUGCGAUGGAGGCGUUGUUCGAGGAUAUCUACACCCUCGAGAAGGACAAGGUUCGUUUGGCGGCUCACUGUUUAGAGGGGCCGGCUCGAUCGUGGUGGACGAGAGUGAAGAAUGGUCGGUCCUUGGAUCCAGCUACUAUGACUUGGGAGGCGUUCCGGGAGAUUCUAUUGAUGGAGUACUUUCCGGAAAGUGACAAGCGGAAGAUCAAUGAGGACUUUCGCAAGUUAAGGCAAGGAAG
Molecule: long non-coding RNA, 257 nt
Filed under: Ananas comosus (pineapple)
Lineage: Eukaryota; Viridiplantae; Streptophyta; Magnoliopsida; Poales; Bromeliaceae
Description: long non-coding RNA (ACOM_LNC010062)
Source: RNAcentral